Long non-coding RNA from Antechinus flavipes (yellow-footed antechinus), 726 nucleotides. RefSeq lists it as uncharacterized. The transcript has 2 exons. The record is from RefSeq and is a predicted model, not a curated record. NCBI's taxonomy places the organism in Eukaryota, Metazoa, Chordata, Mammalia, Dasyuromorphia, Dasyuridae.
GAGGGAAGACUGCAGCCCUAGCAGCGACUCCGGGGGUUGACCCACCUAGCUCGAUUUAAGCUCACCCGCCGGAUAGGGGUGGGGCGGGCGUGGUAUGUUUUUGCUCCCUCUUUUCCACCGUGCCGCCGCCGAGUGUGCGCGUGUGUGAUCCAGCGACGCCGCCACACCCCUGUUCUGACCCGGGGCUUUGACCGCCUUUUCGAGUGACAUAUGGAUUCUAUUACCUGAAGAUGAGCCUUCUCUCAUGUCAUGUAACUCAGCUGGUGAUGUGGUUAUUGUGCCAUAGUUCCCUUUUACUAUCCUGCCUCAGUUUCCCUAAUUGUUCUGCAUCAGUCCCCUUAGUUGCAAACCACCCCCAACUCCCUCCGGUUCAUUAAGACUGAUAUAACUCGGGGCUACUUACUCUAAGGUUAUAAAUUGUCAAUGUGUAAACUCAAGAUAAGGGAGUGUCCAGAUUUCCUGGCUCUAAGCUGGACACUUCCUUAACUCCCAGUUUAUUAGAAUUUAUGGUCCUACCCCCCAACCUGUCAGAACUGGAUUGAUGGUCCCUGACUGGAGAUUCCAGCUCACCAGAGUUUGGCCUCUACCCUCUCCCAUCCCUCCACCCUCCAUUUUUGAGAACUCACAUUUGCUGCUGGAUACUUUGGACAUCAGCCUUGGGGGCAACAUGCCCCCAGAACAAUCUCUCCCUCUCAGAAAUCAAAUAAAAUAUUAAAAAAUCUCUAA